This 146-nucleotide unclassified non-coding RNA is filed under the name uncultured fungus. RNAcentral describes it as "sequence contains ITS2". The record is from RNAcentral. Lineage: Eukaryota; Fungi.
CAACCCUCAAGCUCUGCUUGGUAUUGGGCCCUGCCACGCUGGCAGGCCUUAAAAUCAGUGGCGGUGCCAUCUCGGCUCUAAGCGUAGUACAUCUCUCGCUCUGGAGGCCUGGUGGUGUCUGUCAGAUAACCUUCAUUAUCUUCUAU